Molecule: ribosomal RNA, 268 nt
Filed under: uncultured prokaryote
Description: partial 16S ribosomal RNA
Rfam family: Bacterial small subunit ribosomal RNA
Source: RNAcentral
UACGUAGGGUGCGAGCGUUAAUCGGAAUUACUGGGCGUAAAGCGUGCGCAGGCGGUUUGCUAAGACAGGUGUGAAAUCCCCGGGCUUAACCUGGGAACUGCGCUUGUGACUGGCAGGCUAGAGUACGGUAGAGGGGGUGGAAUCCUGGUGUAGCAGUGAAAUGCGUAGAUAUCAGGAGGAACACCGAUGGAGAAGGCAGCCCCCUGGGCCUGUACUGACGCUCAUGCACGAAAGCGUGGGGAGGCAAACAGGAUUAGAUACCCGGGUA